GAAAGGGGCCAUAUGGCCUAACAGUGACUCUGUCCCUCCUCUUGAUGCAGGAGGCAGAUGGUUCCGUGGUAGGGAAACCAUGGAGUGGGGACAUCUGUAGAUGGGAUGUCUGUUGAGAGAAGGAAAGAGUACCUGGAUUUGAAGCUUGCUUUACCACUUAGGGUUCCGCAUGUGUCUCUUAAUUCAUGAGUUUCUCUUCCUGUCUGUUACCAACAUCUAAGUGUGUAGUUUCACUUGUGUGUAUGUGUAGGUGUAUGUGUGUGGGUAUAUGUGAUUGUGAGUGUGUAUUUGUCUUUUGUUAGGCAGUAGAGUAACUAUGUUUCAUGAUUUAUAUUAUGAAUCUACUGUCACACUGUUAUAAAUUAAAAGAUUCUAUGUUGAAACCAUUGUGGUUGGCUGGCAAUUGGCCAGGACCAAUUCAUUCAUGUUUCUUGGCCAGCCCCUAAGUAAGAAAAUGAAUUUACUAGUGAUUAAACUGACCAAGAAGUUCAAUGUCAUAUCAAGGUUAUCCAUGACCAAAACCUGUAACAUCUGGUGCCAACAGCCAAGUCAUCAGAGUGCCCAGUGUUUGCUAUGGCAGGACUCUCCAUGGUCAAGAAGAAAAGGAUUAGAUAUGGUGGGACACCCAGGCACUUCUUGACUUAUUCCGCCUCUGACCAGCUUCAUUCUCUGUGGUAAGCACUUAACCUAGUCAGAAAGGAGAAGAGAAAUUAGAUGUACCAAAUAGAUGGAAGUAGCCAGUUCCUAGACACCACAUUGUAGACUACCGUGCCUCUCUCGGGUGGCUUUCUCAGGUUUAAGGACAGGACUAGGGUUGAAGAAAGAGGUUGCCCUGCCCCCCACCCCCAGGUUCCUUCUUUAUGUGAUUUGUUCAUCACUCCCAAAGUCCUCUCCUUGUCCACAGCUAGACAGAUCAAGAGGAAAAAGCACAGAGGAGCAAAUGUGAGAGGAUUUUAGGGAUGGACGCCCCUAUCGGUUUGUCUCCAUCAGAGAGGGCUGAGCCGUGUGGCCAAACCACAGUAUGGGAGAGAGGCGUGAAAUCGGUUCAGGCAGCUAAUGGUGACCACCACAGGACAAUCCCAGGACAGGGGCCAUGUCAUAAGAUGACCAAGAAUUGUUAGCCAUGGAAACAAAUCGAACAGAGAGUGGGAAUCAGGGCUUGGGGGCUGGAGACCCUGUGUGUUCUGCUCAGGGUCGGUGGGAAGGCUGUGAAAAGAGGUCUGUGGGAAGGGCAAUGGUUCCACAAAGGGAGCUGGCCAACGCAAGCCAGCAUGCUUGCCAUAAAUAUGAACACAGCCAGUGAGUGCUAUUGGCUACCCAGGGAGAGUUCCUAUCACCAACAUGAGUUUCUGUCCCCAGGAUGCACUUGUGACCACUUUAGAUGGGGCUGGUUCUUGUCCAGGAUGCAACACACAUCCUUCUGAAUACACUGCAUCUGUGCCUUUGCUUCCAUGAUUGAUCUUGUCCCAUGAGUCACCUUGACUGACCACAUGCUUCCAGCAUGGUGCUACCUGUCUCUCCACAGGCCCAAGGAGCUGAGGGGCAGGUGACGGUGGGUAGAAACUUCUGAGACUCUGAGCCAAAAUCAACCUUUUCCUUUAUGCUGGCGCUGCAAUCAAAAGCAGACUGGUGGACCCUAGGAUGGUUGCUACUGUCACAUUUGGUACAGAAAAAGACAGGAUCAUCACCAGCUGGAGAGAGGGUCCUCUGCUGCCUCAGUAGUAGGCGGCCAUGUGGUCAAGUGCCUAGGACCCAGGGAAGACAUCUGAGAGCUGGGGCUGACCCAGCUUGUCAACGGCAAGAAGCCUGGCAGUUCAGGCUCUAAGGGACAACUGCAAGGAGCUGAAUUUUGCAACUACGUGGGUUUGGAGAAGAGCUCCAUGCCUGACAUGAGACUGCAGCUUCUGCCAGGACCUUAAUUUCAGCACUGAGGGCUCAGCCAGCUUGUAUCUGGACUCCUGACCUGUGCACAUGGGAUAUAAUAAAUAUGUGUUGCUUAA
Mus musculus (house mouse) is the source of this 2000-nucleotide long non-coding RNA. RefSeq annotates it as predicted gene, 52637. The transcript is spliced from 2 exons. The record is from RefSeq and is a predicted model, not a curated record. Lineage: Eukaryota; Metazoa; Chordata; Mammalia; Rodentia; Muridae.